CCUACGGGAGGCAGCAGUGAGGAAUAUUGCGCAAUGGGCGAAAGCCUGACGCAGCAACGCCGCGUGAGGGAUGAAGGCCUUCGGGUUGUAAACCUCUUUUCUGGGGAACGAGAUCAGGACGGUACCUCGGGAAUAAGUCUCGGCUAACUACGUGCCAGCAGCCGCGGUAAAACGUAGGAGGCGAGCGUUAUCCGGAUUUACUGGGCGUAAAGCGCACGCAGGCGGCUUCGUUAGUCGGAUGUGAAAGCUCCUGGCUUAACGGGGAGAGGCCAUUCGAUACUGCGGGGCUGGAGAUUGGGAGAGGGGUGCGAAAUUCCCGGUGUAGUGGUGGAAUGCGUAGAUAUCGGGAGGAACACCAGUGGCGAAGGCGGCCUUCUGGUCUGCCCCUGACACGCAGGCGCGAAAGCGUGGGGAGCAAACAGGAUUAGAUCCCCCGGUAGU
Molecule: ribosomal RNA, 441 nt
Filed under: uncultured Anaerolineae bacterium
Lineage: Bacteria; Bacillati; Chloroflexota; Anaerolineae
Description: partial 16S ribosomal RNA
Rfam family: Bacterial small subunit ribosomal RNA
Source: RNAcentral